CAAUUAUUGUUCGAGAAAAUUAAAACAUGUGUCAAUGUGCGAAUGACUUGUCACAAUUCUACAAUCACAUCCACAUACUUCUCGGAAAAAAAAAAUUCUGAAGAUUCAAUUGUGACAAUAUUCCAAGUCAAUCAUAAAUCGUGCAAUAACACAACAAAUUGCAAAUAGAUCCAAUCCUCAUUUCCUCCAAAAUACAAUUACAAAGGGAUUAUGAGAAUCCAAACAAAGUCUUUAGUAGAAGAUUACAUACUUGUCCCAUGAAACCUCCUCCCCCAAUGUCAUAAAACCAUCUCCUAAUAGAGAUGGCCACUUCUAUGAAGGAAACCAAAACAAACUUCUAUCCACAUAUAGAGAGAGAGAGAGAGAUAGACUUUACGCCUCCCACUCUCUCUCCUCUUCCCUUUUAUUCCUCUUAAUUUACAUAUACAUCUUUUGAGUUUACACAAAAAGACUCACCAUAAAUUAAACAUAUUAAGAUCAACUCACUUGACUUGUAUAUACAAAAAUUACACUCUCCAUCUCAAAGACCCCCCAAAAAACAUUAAUCUUCUUCCUCCUCCUCUUGAUAUUUUUCCCAAAGCACAAAG
RNAcentral lists this long non-coding RNA (587 nucleotides) under Malus domestica (apple). Its description in RNAcentral is "long non-coding RNA (MDOM_LNC006339)". Lineage: Eukaryota; Viridiplantae; Streptophyta; Magnoliopsida; Rosales; Rosaceae. The record is from RNAcentral.